UCAGUAACGGCGAGUGAAGCGGCAAGAGCUCAACUUUGGAAUCGCUCCGGCGAGUUGUAGUCUGGAGGUGGCCACCACGAGGUGUUCUAGCAGCAGGCAAGUCCUUUGGAACAAGGCGCCAGCGAGGGUGACAGCCCCGUACCUGCUUUUGCUAGUGCUUCCUGUGGCCCACCGACGAGUCGAGUUGUUUGGGAAUGCAGCUCUAAGUGGGUGGUAAAUUCCAUCUAAGGCUAAAUAUUGGCGAGAGACCGAUAGCGAACAAGUACAGUGAUGGAAAGAUGAAAAGCACUUUGAAAAGAGAGUGAAACAGUACGUGAAAUUGUUGAAAGGGAAGGGCUUGCACCCAGACACGGUUUCGGCCGGGCCAGCAUCAAGUAGAACGGGGUUAAAAGACCUGGGGAAUGUAGCUACCUCUUGGUAGUGUUAUAGCCCUUGGGUGAUGACCCCUGUUUUGCUUGAGGACAGCGGUCUCUAGGAUGC
RNAcentral lists this ribosomal RNA (480 nucleotides) under Candidozyma auris. RNAcentral describes it as "[Candida] auris partial 26S ribosomal RNA". It matches the Rfam family "Eukaryotic large subunit ribosomal RNA", at positions 80 to 569 of the family's 3401-position model. Lineage: Eukaryota; Fungi; Ascomycota; Pichiomycetes; Serinales; Metschnikowiaceae. The record is from RNAcentral.